Molecule: ribosomal RNA, 964 nt
Filed under: uncultured bacterium
Lineage: Bacteria
Description: partial 16S ribosomal RNA
Source: RNAcentral
UAGAAUACUCAAGCUAUGCAUCCAACGCGUUGGGAGCUCUCCCAUAUGGUCGACCUGCAGGCGGCCGCACUAGUGAUUACGGUUACCUUGUUACGACUUCACCCCAGUCAUGAAUCACAAAGUGGUAAGCGCCCUCCCGAAGGUUAAGCUACCUACUUCUUUUGCAACCCACUCCCAUGGUGUGACGGGCGGUGUGUACAAGGCCCGGGAACGUAUUCACCGUAGCAUUCUGAUCUACGAUUACUAGCGAUUCCGACUUCAUGGAGUCGAGUUGCAGACUCCAAUCCGGACUACGACGUACUUUAUGAGGUCCGCUUGCUCUCGCGAGUUCGCUUCUCUUUGUAUACGCCAUUGUAGCACGUGUGUAGCCCUACUCGUAAGGGCCAUGAUGACUCGACGUCAUCCCCACCUUCCUCCGGUUUAUCACCGGCAGUCUCCUUUGAGUUCCCACCAUUACGUGCUGGCAACAAAGGAUAAGGGUUGCGCUCGUUGCGGGACUUAACCCAACAUUUCACAACACGAGCUGACGACAGCCAUGCAGCACCUGUCUCAGAGUUCCCGAAGGCACUAAGCUAUCUCUAGCGAAUUCUCUGGAUGUCAAGAGUAGGUAAGGUUCUUCGCGUUGCAUCGAAUUAAACCACAUGCUCCACCGCUUGUGCGGGCCCCCGUCAAUUCAUUUGAGUUUUAACCUUGCGGCCGUACUCCCCAGGCGGUCGACUUAACGCGUUAGCUCCGGAAGCCACGCCUCAAGGGCACAACCUCCAAGUCGACAUCGUUUACAGCGUGGACUACCAGGGUAUCUAAUCCUGUUUGCUCCCCACGCUUUCGUACCUGAGCGUCAGUCUUUGUCCAGGGGGCCGCCUUCGCCACCGGUAUUCCUCCAGAUCUCUACGCAUUUCACCGCUACACCUGAAUUCUACCCCCCUCUACAAGACUCUAGCUUGCCAGUUUCAAAUGCAGUUCC